RNAcentral lists this long non-coding RNA (1119 nucleotides) under Sus scrofa (pig). RNAcentral's name for it is "lncRNA (ENSSSCG00050002419.1, ENSSSCG00065021151.1)". Lineage: Eukaryota; Metazoa; Chordata; Mammalia; Artiodactyla; Suidae. The record is from RNAcentral.
CGCCUGUCCCCACCUCUCAGUGUUGACACUGCCUGUCCUGGUGGAGGUACUGAACAGCUGCCUAUUUUUGCCUAUCACUUGCAGUAAUGGGAAGACAGCCUGGAUUCUGAAAAGCCCAGAUUCUGCAAUUGAAGAGAAUCAUACAUACCUGACUGGCAUGGGGCUAGAGAUUUUUCCACCAAAACCCACUGUGAUCAUGUUUAUUUCAUUUCAUCCAGUAGACUGGACUCUCUUCAUAUGCACUUUUUUCAUCUCCAGCUUCAGGCAGAUUAACUCAGCAAACUUGGAAGCCAGAUGAUGAAAACUGAAAAACUGUAAGAUGGAAGGGAUAUGGAACUCCAGUUCACUGCUUGAAGAAGGGCAGUCAGAGUUAACAGUUUUAGACUUUAUAAGGAGAAAUAAAUUUAUGUCAUGUGAACAAUUAUAUAUUUUAGAGUUUGUUUUUCAAAACAGCUUUACUAUAACUGCUAAAUGGAAAAAUGCAUGCAUUUCUCAAUUACCAGAUUACAACUCAAACUGUAUUUUGUUUCCAGUACUAGAGACACAAGACAUGAGUUAAUCAAAUUUUUUUGUGUGUAGCAGCCUGGGUAAUUCAUGUUUUUAAGUCCCUUUAAUAUCUUAUUGGUUGUGCAUUCUAGGUUUUAAACAACUUGUUUAGAAUGAACUUUUAGAACCACACCCAUUUCUAAGUUGGGAACUGCUUACAUAGCAAAGGAUUUAUUGCUGAAUGAUCAAUUUGAUAUGCUUGUCAUAACUGCUAAACUAUACAGACAUGGGCCAUUUAUUCCAGACAACAUAAUGUCUGAAUUGGAUUGAAGAAACUGGAUCAAUAGACCUUAACCAUCGACCUGAAAAUGGUCACUCCAUACAAUCGUGGAAAAUCAAGUAGUCCAGUUGUCUGAAAAAAUAACAAUUGGCAGACAAAUUACUUUAUCAGUCAUCUUUGGUUUUAGUGGGAAAUUGUAUGGUUUUAAUUUCAAAAAGGAUAUGGUUCACUAACCUUAUAGUGACUGAUAUUAAAAAAUUGAAAUGUAUGUUAUAUCACAAAGCUGAUGGAAUGGAGUUCAACUAGAUGCGUUUUUUUUUACCAAAAAAAAUAAUAAAUUUGUUUUAAGAAGU